GAUCGCGUAGCUCAGUCGGCAGAGCGCCUCGUUCACACCGAGGAGGCCGCAGGUUCGAGCCCUGCCGCGAUCA
Molecule: transfer RNA, 73 nt
Filed under: Ornithinimicrobium humiphilum
Lineage: Bacteria; Bacillati; Actinomycetota; Actinomycetes; Micrococcales; Ornithinimicrobiaceae
Rfam family: tRNA
About the family: Transfer RNA (tRNA) molecules are approximately 80 nucleotides in length. Their secondary structure includes four short double-helical elements and three loops (D, anti-codon, and T loops).
Source: Rfam by way of RNAcentral